CCGUUAGGAGGGAAACGAAUGCGGCUGAAGUGGCUCCUCGUCAGGCUCAGGAGACGUCGAGUGGGUCCCGUCGGACUGCGGUUGCUCGCCGCGGAUCGUCUGGGCGGCCCGCCGACCACUCUGCACUUCUGCGGGGAGCCGGCCAACGGCAGUUGCCUUCCGGCCCAGGAGGGUGCUGGGGAAGGUGGCCCCGCGUACGCGUGGGGAACUUAUAGCCCGGCGCCUGGACGUUCCGGAGACGACUGAGGAGAGUUGCGAGUUCUCGCACGUUGCAGCGCAGGCCCCCCGGGGGCUGGGCCGCUUCUGCUCGGCAGACGGCCGAGGCUGCUACUGCACCGUCAGUGGCUGUCGACGGUCUCGCCGGCUGGGUGGGAGGUCGGUCGCACCUUGCGCUGUGGUCGUUGGUGCCCGAAUGGCCGCAUCCGACCCGUCUUGAAACACGGACCAAGGAGUGCAACAUGCGUGCGAGUCUCCGGGUGGCAAACCCGUGGGCGCAAUGAAAGUGAAGGCGGUGCUUGGCCCGCUGUGGCGAGAGCCCCCGACUCCCCGGAGGCAGGGGGCGCAUCGUCGACCGAUCCCAGGUCACGCUGUGGCGGGAUUUGAGUGAGAGCGUGCCUGUUGCGACCCGAAAGAUGGUGAACUAUGCCUGAA
This 651-nucleotide ribosomal RNA is filed under the name Antho inconstans. Its description in RNAcentral is "eukaryotic LSU rRNA". The stretch from base 444 to 651 matches the Rfam family "Eukaryotic large subunit ribosomal RNA", at positions 665 to 841 of the family's 3401-position model. Lineage: Eukaryota; Metazoa; Porifera; Demospongiae; Poecilosclerida; Microcionidae. The record is from RNAcentral.